AAAUCGUACCCCAAACCGACACAGGUGGUCAGGUAGAGAAUACCAAGGCGCUUGAGAGAACUCGGGUGAAGGAACUAGGCAAAAUGGUGCCGUAACUUCGGGAGAAGGCACGCUGACACGUAGGUGAAGUGAUUUACUCAUGGAGCUGAAGUCAGUCGAAGAUACCAGCUGGCUGCAACUGUUUAUUAAAAACACAGCACUGUGCAAACACGAAAGUGGACGUAUACGGUGUGACGCCUGCCCGGUGCCGGAAGGUUAAUUGAUGGGGUCAGCGCAAGCGAAGCUCCUGAUCGAAGCCCCGGUAAACGGCGGCCGUAACUAUAACGGUCCUAAGGUAGCGAAAUUCCUUGUCGGGUAAGUUCCGACCUGCACGAAUGGCGUAAUGAUGGCCAGGCUGUCUCCACCCGAGACUCAGUGAAAUUGAACUCGCUGUGAAGAUGCAGUGUACCCGCGGCAAGACGGAAAGACCCCGUGAACCUUUACUAUAGCUUGACACUGAACAUUGAGCCUUGAUGUGUAGGAUAGGUGGGAGGCUUUGAAGUGUGGACGCCAGUCUGCAUGGAGCCGACCUUGAAAUACCACCCUUUAAUGUUUGAUGUUCUAACGUGGACCCGUUACCCGGGUUGCGGACAGUGUCUGGUGGGUAGUUUGACUGGGGCGGUCUCCUCCUAAAGAGUAACGGAGGAGCACGAAGGUUGGCUAAUCCUGGUCGGACAUCAGGAGGUUAGUGCAAUGGCAUAAGCCAGCUUGACUGCGAGCGUGACGGCGCGAGCAGGUGCGAAAGCAGGUCAUAGUGAUCCGGUGGUUCUGAAUGGAAGGGCCAUCGCUCAACGGAUAAAAGGUACUCCGGGGAUAACAGGCUGAUACCGCCCAAGAGUUCAUAUCGACGGCGGUGUUUGGCACCUCGAUGUCGGCUCAUCACAUCCUGGGGCUGAAGUAGGUCCCAAGGGUAUGGCUGUUCGCCAUUUAAAGUGGUACGCGAGCUGGGUUUAGAACGUCGUGAGACAGUUCGGUCCCUAUCUGCCGUGGGCGCUGGAGAACUGAGGGGGGCUGCUCCUAGUACGAGAGGACCGGAGUGGACGCAUCACUGGUGUUCGGGUUGUCAUGCCAAUGGCACUGCCCGGUAGCUAAAUGCGGAAGAGAUAAGUGCUGAAAGCAUCUAAGCACGAAACUUGCCCCGAGAUGAGUUCUCCCUGAGACUUUAGGUCUCCUGAAGGAACGUUGAAGACGACGACGUUGAUAGGCCGGGUGUGUAAGCGCAGCGAUGCGUUGAGCUAACCGGUACUAAUGAACCGUGAGGCUUAACCUUACAACGCCGAAG
Molecule: ribosomal RNA, 1321 nt
Filed under: Salmonella enterica subsp. enterica serovar Bovismorbificans
Lineage: Bacteria; Pseudomonadati; Pseudomonadota; Gammaproteobacteria; Enterobacterales; Enterobacteriaceae
Description: partial 23S ribosomal RNA
Rfam family: Bacterial large subunit ribosomal RNA
Source: RNAcentral